This 425-nucleotide ribosomal RNA is filed under the name uncultured bacterium. RNAcentral's name for it is "bacterial SSU rRNA". It matches the Rfam family "Bacterial small subunit ribosomal RNA", at positions 354 to 796 of the family's 1533-position model. RNAcentral also lists the same sequence under 1 other name. The record is from RNAcentral.
GUGGGGAAUAUUGCACAAUGGGGGAAACCCUGAUGCAGCAACGCCGCGUGAGUGAUGACGGUCUUCGGAUUGUAAAGCUCUGUCUUUAGGGACGAUAAUGACGGUACCUAAGGAGGAAGCCACGGCUAACUACGUGCCAGCAGCCGCGGUAAUACGUAGGUGGCAAGCGUUGUCCGGAUUUACUGGGCGUAAAGGGAGCGUAGGUGGAUAUUUAAGUGGGAUGUGAAAUACCCGGGCUUAACCUGGGUGCUGCAUUCCAAACUGGAUAUCUAGAGUGCAGGAGAGGAAAGGAGAAUUCCUAGUGUAGCGGUGAAAUGCGUAGAGAUUAGGAAGAAUACCAGUGGCGAAGGCGCCUUUCUGGACUGUAACUGACACUGAGGCUCGAAAGCGUGGGGAGCAAACAGGAUUAGAAACCCCAGUAGUCC